AUUGAACGCUGGCGGCAUGCCUUACACAUGCAAGUCGAACGGCAGCAUGGAAGAGCUUGCUCUUCUGAUGGCGAGUGGCGAACGGGUGAGUAAAGCAUCGGAACGUACCGUGUAGUGGGGGAUAACGUAGCGAAAGUUACGCUAAUACCGCAUACGCACUGAGGUGGAAAGCAGGGGAUCGCAAGACCUCGCGCGAUUAGAGCGGCCGAUGCCUGAUUAGCUUGUUGGUGGGGUAAAAGCCCACCAAGGCGACGAUCAGUAGCUGGUCUGAGAGGACGAUCAGCCACACUGGGACUGAGACACGGCCCAGACUCCUACGGGAGGCAGCAGGUGGGGAAUUUUUGGACAAUGGGGGAAACCCUGAUCCAGCAAUGCCGCGUGAGUGAAGAAGGCCUUCGGGUUGUAAAGCUCUUUUGUCAGGGAAGAAACACCGGCUCUAACACAGUCCGGGAAUGACGGUACCUGAAGAAUAAGCACCGGCUAACUACGUG
RNAcentral lists this ribosomal RNA (491 nucleotides) under uncultured bacterium. RNAcentral describes it as "bacterial SSU rRNA". It matches the Rfam family "Bacterial small subunit ribosomal RNA", at positions 30 to 507 of the family's 1533-position model. The record is from RNAcentral.